GCGCGAUGAAUACUUUACCAUCUUUCGGGGCAUAUUAACCCUUGCUGAUAAUAUACACUUCUACUGAGCGUU
RNAcentral lists this small nucleolar RNA (72 nucleotides) under Caenorhabditis brenneri. RNAcentral's name for it is "snoRNA CBN33935". It matches the Rfam family "Caenorhabditis snoRNA ceN70". Lineage: Eukaryota; Metazoa; Nematoda; Chromadorea; Rhabditida; Rhabditidae. The record is from Rfam by way of RNAcentral.